This 433-nucleotide ribosomal RNA is filed under the name uncultured bacterium. Its description in RNAcentral is "partial 16S ribosomal RNA". It matches the Rfam family "Bacterial small subunit ribosomal RNA", at positions 29 to 507 of the family's 1533-position model. The record is from RNAcentral.
AACGAACGCUGGCGGCAUGCCUAGCACAUGCCAGUCGAACGAGACCUUCGGGUCUAGUGGCGCACGGGUGCGUAACGCGUGGGAACCUGCCCUUAGGUUCGGAAUAACUCCCCGAAAGGGGUGCUAAUACCGGAUAAUGUCUUCGGACCAAAGAUUUAUCGCCUUUGGAUGGGCCCGCGUUGGAUUAGCUAGUUGGUAGGGUAAAAGCCUACCAAGGCGACGAUCCAUAGCUGGUCGGAGAGGAUGAUCAGCCACACUGGGACUGAGACACGGCCCAGACUCCUACGGGAGGCAGCAGUGGGGAAUAUUGGACAAUGGGCGAAAGCCUGAUCCAGCAAUGCCGCGUGAGUGAUGAAGGCCUUAGGGUUGUAAAGCUCUUUUACCCGGGAUGAUAAUGACAGUACCGGGAGAAUAAGCGCCGGCUAACUCCGUG